Molecule: long non-coding RNA, 84 nt
Filed under: Bos indicus x Bos taurus (hybrid cattle)
Lineage: Eukaryota; Metazoa; Chordata; Mammalia; Artiodactyla; Bovidae
Description: lncRNA (ENSBIXG00005012878.1)
Source: RNAcentral
UGCUCUCUCUUAUAAAACAUUACAAGCCCUUCAGAAGCAAUGACAGAGGAACGGAGUUUUAGAAUGAUUUAUUUUAGAGCAAUA